UGGCGGACGGGUGAGUAACGCGUAAAGAACUUGCCCUUCAGACUGGGAUAACAGAGGGAAACUUCUGAUAAUACUGGAUAAGUUAGUAUAUCGCAUGAUAUGCAAAUGAAAGCUACGGCACUAAAGGAGAGCUUUGCGUCCUAUUAGCUAGUUGGUAAGGUAAGAGCUUACCAAGGCGAUGAUAGGUAGCCGGCCUGAGAGGGUGGACGGCCACAAGGGGACUGAGAUACGGCCCUUACUCCUCGGGAGGCAGCAGUA
This 258-nucleotide ribosomal RNA is filed under the name uncultured Leptotrichia sp. RNAcentral describes it as "partial 16S ribosomal RNA". It matches the Rfam family "Bacterial small subunit ribosomal RNA", at positions 96 to 355 of the family's 1533-position model. The record is from RNAcentral. Lineage: Bacteria; Fusobacteriati; Fusobacteriota; Fusobacteriia; Fusobacteriales; Leptotrichiaceae.